CGGAGCCGACGGGGUGGGCGGCGACGGACGAGGCGACGUCGGACAAGAAGUGGUGGAUGCAAUCUCUUCCUCGAAGCUUUUCAUGACCGAGUCGAGGUCCUGAGUGGCCGCGUCGAGUUCCGAGUCGUCGAGGAAACCCAGUAGGUCUUCUCUGAGUCGCUUAACCUCGGCCGAGUCAUGCUCCGAGUCGUCCGAGUUGUCUCGGAUCCGCUUCUUACUAUUUGAGGUGUGGUCCUCCAUAACAUAUACCAAUCGCAAAUUAGAGG
RNAcentral lists this long non-coding RNA (266 nucleotides) under Prunus persica (peach). RNAcentral's name for it is "long non-coding RNA (PPER_LNC001347)". The record is from RNAcentral. Lineage: Eukaryota; Viridiplantae; Streptophyta; Magnoliopsida; Rosales; Rosaceae.